RNAcentral lists this ribosomal RNA (399 nucleotides) under uncultured bacterium. Its description in RNAcentral is "partial 16S ribosomal RNA". It matches the Rfam family "Bacterial small subunit ribosomal RNA", at positions 360 to 774 of the family's 1533-position model. The record is from RNAcentral.
AAUAUUUCACAAUGGAGGGAACUCUGAUUCAGCAACGCCGCGUGAGUGAAGAAGGGUUUCGGAUCGUAUAACUCUGUCAUUGUGGAAGAAUAAAUGACGGUACCCAAUGAGAAAGCCCCGGCUAACUACCUGCCAGCAGCCGCGGUAAUACGUAGGGGGCGAGCGUUGUCCGGAAUUACUGGGCGUAAAGGGUACGUAGGCGGUUAUAUAAGUCAGGUGUGAAAUACCAGUGCUUAACACUGGAAUUGCAUUUGAAACUGUGUAGAUUGAGUGCAGGAGAGGAAAGUGGAAUUCCUAGUGUAGCGGUGAAAUGCGUAGAGAUUAGGAGGAACACCAGUGGCGAAGGCGAAUUUCUGGACUGUAACUGACGCUGAGGUACGAAAGCGUGGGUAGAGAAAA